AGAGUAUGGGAGGGGGAGAUGGAAUUAGUGGUGUAGGGGUAAAAUCCGUAGAUAUCACUAGGAAUACCGAAAGCGAAGGCGAUCUCCUGGAACAUUACUGACGCUAAGGCGUGAAAGCGUGGGGAGCAAACGGGAUUAGAUACCCCGGUAGUCCACGCCCUAAACGAUGAACACUAGUCGUCGGGAUGCUAGUCAUCUCGGUGAUGCACUUAACAGAUUAAGUGUUCCGCCUGGGGAGUACGGUCGCAAGAUUAAAACUCAAAGGAAUAGACGGGGACCCGCACAAGUGGUGGAGCAUGUGGUUUAAUUCGAAGAUACGCGAAGAACCUUACCUAGCCUUGACAUUGAUUGAACGGACCAGAGAUGGACCGGUGCCCUUCGGGGAACAUGAAAACAGGUGCUGCACGGCUGUCGUCAGCUCGUGUCGUGAGAUGUUGGGUUAAGUCCCGCAACGAGCGCAACCCUCGUCAAUAGUUGCCAGCAGGUUAAGCUGGGCACUCUAUUGAGACUGCCUUCGCAAGGAGGAGGAAGGUGAGGACGACGUCAAGUCAUCAUGGCCCUUAUGGCUAGGGCUACACACGUGCUACAAUGGGGCGUACAGAGAGUUGCGAUACCGCGAGGUGGAGCCAAUCUCAUAAAGCGUCUCUCAGUUCGGAUUGAAGUCUGCAACUCGACUUCAUGAAGCUGGAAUCACUAGUAAUCGUAGAUCAGCAAUGCUACGGUGAAUACGUUCCCGGGUCUUGUACUCACCGCCCGUCACACCAUGGGAGUUGAUUUCACCCGAAGCGGGGAAGCUAAACUGGCUACCCUCCACGGUGGAAUUAGCGACUGGGGUGAAGUCGUAACAAGGUAACC
RNAcentral lists this ribosomal RNA (855 nucleotides) under uncultured bacterium. RNAcentral's name for it is "bacterial SSU rRNA". It matches the Rfam family "Bacterial small subunit ribosomal RNA", at positions 643 to 1501 of the family's 1533-position model. The record is from RNAcentral.